Sorghum bicolor (sorghum) is the source of this 957-nucleotide long non-coding RNA. RefSeq lists it as uncharacterized. The record is from RefSeq and is a predicted model, not a curated record. The transcript is spliced from 3 exons. NCBI's taxonomy places the organism in Eukaryota, Viridiplantae, Streptophyta, Magnoliopsida, Poales, Poaceae.
GAGUAGACCACCACCACAAGUCCCCCAUCUCUUCCUGUUACUUUUCGGUUUCCACCAAGGUUUUUGAUUAUUACAACUGCUGCUCGUAUUGUACCACUGCAUGUUUAAAUCGCCACUUGCAAGUUCCAAGUUAGAAACGUAUGCACCCGCUAAUUUAAUAAAUUAUUUAUACUUGGACUAGAGUUUUUUUAAUGAAAACAUUCUUUCAUUUUUUUAACCCCCGAGAUUCACUUCUCUAGCUUGCUAGUCAUUGUUUUGGCACGAUUAUCUACCUCGAUAUAUAUACCUAGUAAUUACAACUGUUAUUUGGUUAUUACACCAGUUCACAUUUGAGUUCAAGCGGGGGUUCAAAAGGGCAAAGAAAGCAAUGCCGCUGCCGGUGGAUGCAGCACUGCUGUCCACAAAUGCACUCCGACGCCGUUAAAUAUGUCUGAUUAGUGAACUGCCUGCUGAAAGCCUUGUCCGUGCUCUCUUCCUUUGUUUUGCAGGGCUUCUCCAGCAAUUCAAACGCUGUCAGGGUGAAGAAAGACGCACCGAAGCAGGUGAUAACUGAAGGGAGCCUUAUCUACUUCUUGUAGGGAGAACUAAGGGCUGAAAUGAAGACUGUUGGUGAUCCUGGUUUGCCUGUUCAACAUCAUCAACUUGGGAGAAAUAAGGACUGAAAACACUUGAAGUGGGCUGAAGCGAUAGAGGAAUAGCAGCAGGCUGAAAUGGCUUAAUUAUCUGAGGCCAAAUAUUAAGAAGCGUGGUGACAUGGCUGAAACUUGUUUCAUGGCUAGAACAUUUUGUAUUCAUGUUUUUGUUGUGCUUUUGUAUGGAAACAUAGCUGGAACAUGUAUGUGCUAGAAUAUUAUUUAUGGUUGGAAAUAAUAUUUAUAUAUCGUUUGGGAUGGUUAUCAUAAUUGUACAAGUGCUUAUGUGGUUCAUAAUCUAUGAUUUUUUAGUUGAGCUGGCUCA